RNAcentral lists this ribosomal RNA (803 nucleotides) under Lunatiannulus irregularis. RNAcentral describes it as "eukaryotic LSU rRNA". It matches the Rfam family "Eukaryotic large subunit ribosomal RNA", at positions 84 to 909 of the family's 3401-position model. The record is from RNAcentral. Lineage: Eukaryota; Fungi; Ascomycota; Sordariomycetes; Xylariales; Xylariaceae.
UAACGGCGAGUGAAGCGGCAACAGCUCAAAUUUGAAAUCUGGCUCUUUAGGGCCCGAGUUGUAAUUUGUAGAGGAUGCUUUUGGCGCGGUGCCUUCCGAGUUCCCUGGCACGGGACGCCUUAGAGGGUGAGAGCCCCGUACGGUUGGACACCAAGCCUCUGUAAAGCUCCUUCGACGAGUCGAGUAGUUUGGGAAUGCUGCUCUAAAUGGGAGGUAAAUUUCUUCUAAAGCUAAAUAUUGGCCAGAGACCGAUAGCGCACAAGUAGAGUGAUCGAAAGAUGAAAAGCACUUUGAAAAGAGGGUUAAAUAGCACGUGCAAUUGUUGACAGGGAAGCGUUUGCGACCAGACCUUCCUCCUAGCGGAUCAUCCGGUGUUCUUCGCCGGUGCACUUCGCUAGGUCGAGGCCAGCAUCGGUUUCUGCAGGGGGAUACAAGCCCAGGGAACGUAGCUCUUUCGGGAGUGUUAUAGCCCUCCGCAUAAUACCCUUGCGGGGACCGAGGACCGCGCUUUUUGCAAGGAUGCUGGCGUAAUGGUCGUCAACGACCCGUCUUGAAACACGGACCAAGGAGUCGAACAUUUAUGCGAGUGUCUGGGUGUUAAACCCUCACGCGGAAUGAAAGUGAACGGAGGUGAGAGCCCUUACGGGUGAAUCAUCGACCGAUCCUGAUGUCUUCGGAUGGAUUUGAGUAAGAGCAUAACUGUUCGGACCCGAAAGAUGGUGAACUAUGCGUGGAUAGGGUGAAGCCAGAGGAAACUCUGGUGGAGGCUCGCUGCGGUUCUGACGUGCAAAUCGAUCGUCAAA